Long non-coding RNA from Drosophila guanche, 483 nucleotides. RefSeq lists it as uncharacterized. NCBI's taxonomy places the organism in Eukaryota, Metazoa, Arthropoda, Insecta, Diptera, Drosophilidae. The transcript is spliced from 2 exons. The record is from RefSeq and is a predicted model, not a curated record.
GAGAGCCUGGGGCAAGCAAUGUACGUGGAGGAAAUCUAAAUUAUCCAGGAAUCCGCGAGUUAAAAGCUCAAAUUCCCGCUCCAUGCCACAUCAGUGUUUGGGAACCGAUGGGCAACGUCUCCGUCUCUUUUUGAAUCAAAAAAUCCCCCGAUGUCAACCCCGAUGGAAAAGCGGAUAUGCUAUUUAAAUUGGGGUAUAUUAAACUGGAUUUUCUCGAGGGGGUUUUCGCGGUCUUCACAUACAUACAAAGCUUAAGAAAAUGACUUUGCUUUGGAAGCGAUCAAAUCCACAAAUAUUUGAGGCUAUGAAUUCCCAAAUGGAAUCAACCAAUCAAUGUGCAUUUGUUGGAAUAUCCUUAUGGGUUGUGCAGUACAACCUGUGCUGCCCGUUUAGGUGUCCGCAAGCAAAACACAAAUCCUUUGAAAUGGAAUAUUUAAUAAAAAAUAUACAUAAGUAUAUAUAGAGGCAUGUUGCAUCAUCGUA